RNAcentral lists this long non-coding RNA (540 nucleotides) under Prunus persica (peach). Its description in RNAcentral is "long non-coding RNA (PPER_LNC000552)". Lineage: Eukaryota; Viridiplantae; Streptophyta; Magnoliopsida; Rosales; Rosaceae. The record is from RNAcentral.
UACAUUAUACAUAAAUAUCAAGCGUUCAAUAAUUCCCCUAUUCCAGGUGAAGGCAAACAAACUCUGCCCAUUCAUUCCGGACUUCAUCAAUUGCUUCUUGGGGGUAUGGCGCUUCCUGUUUUCCCUUGGCAUACUGCAUAAACAAUGACUAUUAGGGUUUAUAAAUAAAAAGAAAUUAAAUCACAGACGACGAUAUUUUUCAUAACCGACGUACUAUAUCUAUUCAACGACGGUAAUUUUACAUGACCGUCGUUGAUAAUACAUAAAACGACAUAAAAUGUAUGAAGGUAAUUUCUUCUUACCUUCUUCUCAAACCCCAAGGAAGGAUCCAUGAUGAUGUCCCUCAUGAAGCGCAUCACAUAAUACCCGCAUUCGACACUGCUGGGUUGCUUUGGUGUGCCUGACAGAGUUUUCCAAAUGACUGCCUUACGGCCUGGUCUAGCUAUGUGAGAAUUAUAAAUUUUUAUAGCACUGUUCACAAUGUUUUUGGCCUCUUCAUCGACCACACGAUUUCCUGGCAGAGAAUCCAGAAAAUAGACG